Symphalangus syndactylus (siamang) is the source of this 1066-nucleotide long non-coding RNA. RefSeq lists it as uncharacterized. The record is from RefSeq and is a predicted model, not a curated record. Lineage: Eukaryota; Metazoa; Chordata; Mammalia; Primates; Hylobatidae.
AGCCAGGUGACUGCAAACUCUCCAUGGGCAUCAAGAAAAACAAGACUUCAAUUUCUUUGAACCCCUGUGUCAGGAGCUUGGCUGACUAUGAAAUACGGCAGCUUAGGAGUGGUGUGGUAGAAGGACAGCCCCCCUGCCCUGAGACAACACUCGAAGGCCUGUAUUCCAGCGAGAGUGCCCUGACAAGACAGUUCUGGCCACCCUUGCCUGGCCCCUCCACCUUCCCGUCAGUUUCAUGAGUUCUCCAGCCUUUUCCCAGAUGCUCAGAGGUUAUUUAGGAUCUGAGACUCUUGCUUGGGGGUCGUGAGUAGCUCCUGUACUUGCAGAAUGAAUUCUCGGUGGGAUCUUUGAUCAUUGACAGUUUACCAGUCCCAUGUGCAAGGGUUAUCAACAUCUGGAAAGCAAUUCUUCGAGGAAUAAGCUUCCAUGAAAUAAAUGGCCAUGUUAGAGAAGCUCAUGUGGCAAGGAACUGUCAGCAGUCUCUAAGAGCUGAGAGUAGACUCCAGCAAGAAACUGAAACCCUCAGUCUGACGGCCACAAGGAAAUAAAUUCUGCCAACAACCUGAAGAAGCUUGGAGCAGAACUUUCCUCAGUUGAGCCUCUGAUGAGACUGCAGCCCCAGCUGUCACCUGGAUAGCAGCUGGUGAAACCCUUCAGCAGAGAAACCAGCCAAGCUGUGUGUAAACUUCUGACCUGCAGAAACUAUAAUGAGUGUGUGUUAUUUAGAACUGCUAAGUUUGUGGUAGUUAAGCAGCAUAGGAAAUGAAUAUAGUAGGCCGGGAGUGGUGGCUCAUGCCUGUAAUCCCAGCACUUUGGGAGGCUGAGGCCAGCGGAUCACCUGAGGUCGGGAGUUCGAGACCAGCCUGGCCAACAUGGAGAAACCCUGUCUCUACUAAAAAUACAAAAUUAGCAUGGUGUGGUGGUGCAUGCCUGUAUUCCCAGCUACUUGGGAGGCUGAGGCAGGAGAAUUGCUUGAACCCAGAAGGUGGAGGUUGUGGUGAGCCAAGAUCGUGCCAUUGCACUCCAGACUAGCCAACAAGAGUGAAAAUCUGUCUCAAAAAGAAAA